CGCAGCUGCAGCACAGCCAUGGCCCAGGCGUCGCCGCCCCGGCCCAAGAGGGUACUCGGCGCCAGCAGUCCAGAGGCCCAGCCCGCGCAGGAGGCGCUCCUCCUUCCCACCGGGCAAGACUCAGCCAAAGGUGGAAAAGUUGAAGGGGUGUUCCCAGCAGAGAGGAUGACACAAAGGCACCAAACCACAAAACGUCAUACGUAAACAUCAUACGCGGCAACCACAAGCCAAUCAGUUGGAUAUUUCAUUCAUUGGUAUACAUAUGCACUGUAAGGUGUCUUUCAGGUUGCAGAAAAGAUGGAAAAAAGGACAUGUGCACUGUGCCCCAAAGAUGUCGAGUAUAAUGUCCUGUACUUUGCACAAUCAGAGAAUAUAGCUGCUCAUGAGAAUUGUUUGCUGUAUUCUUCAGGACUUGUGGAAUGUGAGGAUCAUGAUCCGCUUAAUCCUGAUAGAAGUUUUGAUGUGGAAUCAGUAAAGAAAGAAAUCCAGAGAGGAAGGAAGUUGAAAUGCAAAUUUUGUCAUAAAAGAGGAGCCACCGUGGGAUGUGAUUUAAAAAACUGUAACAAGAAUUACCACUUUUUCUGCGCCAAGAAGGAUGACGCAGUUCCACAGUCUGAUGGAGUUCGAGGAAUUUAUAAACUGCUUUGCCAACAACAUGCUCAAUUCCCGAUCAUCGCUCAAAGUGCUAAAUUUUCAGGAGUGA
This 703-nucleotide small RNA is filed under the name Pongo abelii (Sumatran orangutan). RNAcentral's name for it is "processed transcript". Lineage: Eukaryota; Metazoa; Chordata; Mammalia; Primates; Hominidae. The record is from RNAcentral.